GUUAAUGUUAACAAUCUCUACUUAGAAUAUCACUGUUACGAGUAAGUAUUUUUGCAUUUUACCUGGAGAAAUUGGUGAAGUCAGUGAGGGUUUCAGGCACUGGGCCUCUUCUGAGACAAGUCUUACUCGGCAGGGCAAUAUUCGGAUUCCAGAGCCAGAUUCUUCACUUGUAUUGACUUUCCUGGUAUGGGAUGAGGAUUUUUGCCUAUAGAUGGACUUCUAAUUUUCUCCACUUUUAUUUAUUGGUGUUCCUUUUCAAGUAUUUUGAAGCAGUGCCAUGCCUGUCUGCUAGCAGAGCUGCUUCCUGGGCAGCGCAUGGAGAAGAUGCCCUCAGAGGAAAUGGGAUUGCUGAAUGCUGCUGUGUGACUGCAUCGUGUUGUGUGGAGACACACAGUACUGGUCUUCUGUGGUGCUGCUGAGAACCUGGCUUGGUUUAUCUUCUGGACUCAGCAUGGCCUUGUGGAGUCUGUCUUUGAAAGCAGUGGUGGCAGUGCUGGAGUUGGUGUUGUGCAUCCAUGAAGGGAUGGAGCUGUCAAAGAGGAUUUGGAGCUGGAUUUGAAGACAUCAAGAUACGUAAAUUUAAAAGAGGGAGAAACAUGCCCACAAUGAGCCUGAAUACAGCCACGCUUAUACCAAGCUCGUUUAUUCUUUAAAAAAAAAUUGAUUGUGGAUUUUUUAUAAUAGACUUCAGAUAAUACCACAAAAUCAUACAA
Long non-coding RNA from Strigops habroptila (Kakapo), 713 nucleotides. RefSeq lists it as uncharacterized. The transcript is spliced from 3 exons. The record is from RefSeq and is a predicted model, not a curated record. Lineage: Eukaryota; Metazoa; Chordata; Aves; Psittaciformes; Psittacidae.